GUACAAGAUCAUAUAAAACCAUAACAAUCCUUUUCCUUUACUACUCUUUAUCUUAUUCAACUUUUCAUCUUAUAUCUAGAUUAAAAACUUUUUUUAAAAAAACAGCAAAACGCUCAUUCACGAUAGAGAACAAAAUUAUUCUCUAUCCUUUUCUUCAUCCACGACAGAGUAAAAAAAUUAUUUUUUGUCCAAAAUAAAAAAAAAAGUUGAUCAUCUUUAAUGUUUCCCAACAAAGAAUGAAACUAAAGACACUUCAUUGUUAGAAUAUCAAGUUGAAGAAUGAAGAAAUGAUAUAUUCACCGGUUCUCCCUAAAUUCGCGGCUAGGAUUUUAUACUUUUCUUCGUGGCUGGGUUUCAAAGUGAAUAUUCAUGCUUGUAGCUAAGGUUUCGUAGCUUUCUUCGGGGCUGAGUUUCAAAGUGGAUAUUCAUGGUUGUAGUUACUUUCGCUUCCACGGAGGAAGCAAUUACCAUCCUAAAAUGGAAAGCAACUUUCAAGAACCAGAUUAAUUCCUUAUUGGCUUCAUGGACUCAGAGUUCAAAUACAUGUGGGGAUUGGUAUGGAGUUAUGUGUUUAAUGGUAGGGUAAGCAAGGUGAAGGUGCUCAUGUCAUUGGUACACUCUAUGAUUUUCCAUUUUCGACUCUCUCUUUUCUUGAAUAUGUUGAUCUUAGUGUGAAUAAUCUCUCUUGAACUAUUCCACCUGAAAUUAGUAAUCUCACUAAUCUUGUCUAUCUAGACUUGCACACCAAUAUGAUUUCAGGCACAAUUCCAUUACAAAUCGGCUCACUAGCAAAGCUCCAGAACGUUAACAUCUAUGACAACCUUUUAAAUGGUUCCGUUCCUAGCUCAUUGAGUGCUCGGAGGAACAUUUGGUUGAAUACUCAUGAGAAAUGUAAUGUCAUGAACUUUAAUUAUAUAUCAAACUAGGGAACAUGUCCGCUCUUCGCGCGCGGAUUAAUUAAUAUGUGGUAGGAAAUUUUUUCUUGUCGAUGUAUUAUAUGAUUAUAUUAUUUAAGCAUAUCAUUUUGUUUUCAUUUGAAAUGAUGAUACAUGAACUUUAGUAUCUAUUUAAUGAGAAUAAUACAUUGUUAAUGAAUAAACUUAGAAUAUAUACUCUGUUAAAAAGUU
Molecule: non-coding RNA, 1127 nt
Organism: Solanum lycopersicum (tomato)
Lineage: Eukaryota; Viridiplantae; Streptophyta; Magnoliopsida; Solanales; Solanaceae
Source: RefSeq, a predicted model, not a curated record